AUUGAACGCUGGCGGCAGGCCUAACACAUGCAAGUCGAACGAGUGGCGGACGGGUGAGUAAUGUCUGGGAAACUGCCCGAUGGAGGGGGAUAACUACUGGAAACGGUAGCUAAUACCGCAUACCAUCGGAUGUGCCCAGAUGGGAUUAGCUAGUUGGUGGGGUAACGGCUCACCUAGGCGACGAUCCCUAGCUGGUCUGAGAGGAUGACCAGCGACACUGGAACGGAGACACGGUCCGGACUCCUACGGGAGGCAGCAGUGGGGAAUAUUGCACAAUGGGCGGAAGCCUGAUGCAGCCAUGCCGCGGGUAUGAAGAAGGCCUUCGGGUUGUAAAGUACUUUCGGCGGGGAGGCGUUACUCGCAGAAGAAGCACCGGCUAACUCCGUGCCAGCAGCCGCGGUAAUAC
RNAcentral lists this ribosomal RNA (406 nucleotides) under uncultured bacterium. Its description in RNAcentral is "partial 16S ribosomal RNA". It matches the Rfam family "Bacterial small subunit ribosomal RNA", at positions 30 to 526 of the family's 1533-position model. The record is from RNAcentral.